CCUACAGGGUCCCAGUCCGGGAGAGGCAGGCAGGUCCCUAAACUGGGGACUCCUUCCCAGGGAGAAGAAAUUCCCUUUCGCAACACCAGAGGGCGCAGUCGCCACUCUCACGGGAGCCCUGCCCAGCUCUAACCUCUUGGCUCUCCAUUCACUCUCGGCCCUUCCAGGCCCCACCUGGGGCCUGGGGCCUGUGCUACAGCAGAAGCGGCCGGGGGGCUCCGUGAGGCGCAGGUGUUCACCAGAUACCUCACGGUUCCGCAGGGCCAGAUCCUGAAUCCCAGACUUUGGGCCUGCCUGGGGCUCCCCUGAGAGGAAACCCUGAAGCCUGAGGAGCUCCAUACCUGUGUUUUAAAAAUCACAACUCCAGGCCACCUCCUCCUGAAAGCCUUUCUGGAUUAUGCCAGACUGCACCCGUCUACACAGUCCGGAGUGCAGUUGGAUUGGGGGAAAGACAUCUGAAUUUCCAGGCUUCGACUCUUCCCUGGGUCCCUGAAUUAUCAAAGAAUUCCGCGGGAUGGUUCUGUGGUUUUCAUAGCAGAUUAUCUGGGUCCUUGUUUACUUUUGGGCUCUUCCCUCUGACUCAGGGCCCAGACUUUCUGGGAAGGGAGGGGAAAGGGAGGGGUAGCACGCGGCGAGCUGACUGUGGGGUUAUUUCUGACCCUGGAGUCAUCAGCUUCCCAGUCACAGACAGACUGGAGCGGGGUGAGGGGGUGGGGUGGGGGUGGGGGGUGUCAUGCCUCCCUCUUCUUGGCCUCCCAGAACCCAAGGUGCUUAGCAGGCUCCGGAGAUCCUGACAUUUAGACCAGGAAGGUGAGGGGUGUCAGGGGGACCAUCCAGAGCACACAUGAAGGAAGCCUUUUGCCCAGGCUCUGGGUCUAAGGCCGUGCAGGUGCAUUCUGUUACCUGGCAGAAAAGGUCUUCCUUCUGACAUCCUGGAUGCCCCCUGGUGCCAGGGAGCGAUCCAGGCACUGCUCACUUUUUCCACUGAGUCAGCGUGAGUCAUGCUGCACUAACCUGGGGGCAGAGAGAGGGGCAUCUGGGGACCCCUUCUCUCACAUCCACUCCCUCUUUUGGCUUCCCCUGUCCUUUUCUACCCCUCUGCCUGCUCCCCAGGCUUUUCCUGACCCUCUGGUUUGUUCUUAUCAAAUACACCGUGCUUUUCAAUGUAGUCACCACUAGCCAUGGGGGAUUCUUACUUAUGUUUAAAUGGAGUGAAAUGAAGUAAAAUUAAACCUCCAGUUACUCCAUCACGCGAGCCACAUUUUGAGUGCUCCAUAGAAACAUACUGGACACAUCCUUGUGGAAAGUUCUUUUGCACUGCUACUGACACUGAAAAUCUCAACAGGGCGUGUUUCCCUCUUUGCCUUGGCUGUUAGGAAGCUCCGAGCUACAUCCAUAGUCUAGCAAGGAGACUUUGUGUGCUGCGUCCUGUGUAAUGAGGGUCUGUCUCUGAGAGGUUCCCAGAAUAAAGGACUUUCAGUUUUAUUUUAUUUACUUUUUUAAAAAAUGUUUAUUUUUGAGAGAGAGAGAGAGAGAGAGAGUGUGCACACAAGGGGGGAAGGGCA
Neofelis nebulosa (Clouded leopard) is the source of this 1565-nucleotide long non-coding RNA. RefSeq lists it as uncharacterized. The transcript is spliced from 3 exons. Lineage: Eukaryota; Metazoa; Chordata; Mammalia; Carnivora; Felidae. The record is from RefSeq and is a predicted model, not a curated record.